Long non-coding RNA from Hyla sarda, 6567 nucleotides. RefSeq lists it as uncharacterized. Lineage: Eukaryota; Metazoa; Chordata; Amphibia; Anura; Hylidae. The record is from RefSeq and is a predicted model, not a curated record. The transcript is spliced from 3 exons.
GACUGAUGCCCGGUGAGAAGGUGAACGUGACAUAUGCCCUCGUCAGCUGCAAGAAAGGAACUUGGAGACAGGUAAUUAAUAUUUAUAUUAAUUACUGAUAACGAUCAGGCUAGAUAUCAAAUCUAGACCUGCAGAGAUGUCAUAGUCUCUCCCUUAUACAUGAAGAUAUAUGUGUUGUUAAUAAGUAUAUCGUCUAUAGACAGCUUCUUAUAUAACACAGCCAUAUCUCAGGUACAGAGAUUAGGAACAUGUAUGAUCCUUAUUCUCUAUUUUUUUAUUUGUAGGAAUCCCCUUUAUCAAUGUUUAAUAGAAUAGACUGAACUGUCUGCAGUGUUUACAAUUUCACUUUAGACUGUUGGGUGACUGACCGCAAAUUUAAGACUUAACUGUACUAAGUAAAGAAAAAUCAAUAUUUUUUUUUGCUUCAAAUAUAUAAUUAUAGCCAAAAACAUUAGCCAUAAUAAGUCAUAGCCUUUUAACCUAAUUCUGAAGGGCAUAAUACACUGCACUUUAAUACUAAUGCAGUAUGUUAUAUGAGUGAUCUAAAGAUCGCUAUUAAAAGUCCCCUUUAUAAAACACUUAAAGGCUAGGUUCACACUAAGGAAUUUCCAGCCGAAAUAAUUAUUGCCGGAGGUUCCACGAAUGCAUUGCCCUCCCCAUAGAUGGCAAUGUAUUCUGUAUGGAUCCUAGCUAAAAAAUAAGUUAAAAAUAGAUACUGUCAUACUACUGCAGUCUAUUAAUAUAUGAGCUAUCGAAAGAUGGCUGCUUUAUGUACCUUAAUGGGAAUAGUUAAAAACUAAAAGAAGAAAAUUAAAGCUAAUAAAAUAUACGAAAAACUAUAGCUCCGCCUUAACAAAAAUAUCCCUUUAAAAAAAUUGUCUCAAAUAAAAAAUGAAAUUAAAAAAUAAAUAUAUGAAAAAUCCCCAAAAAACUUUAUAACCCCAUAAAAAAUACCCUAACGAUAACAACAACCAUACACUGUCUGCCAGCAUAAUGCUGAGAGGCAGAAUACACUGCACUACAAUAGUGGUGCAGUGUUUCAUAGAAACUAUCAGAUCAGGAAUGACAGGUCAUUCUCGUAUGGGAAAAACAAAAAUAGAAAGGCAGAAAUGCUAUGAAAAACAUAAAUAAAUAAGAAGUAGAUAAAUAAAUAAAACUGAUUUGGACUAGUUUAAAAAGUACAAAAAAUUAGGAAACGGUCGAUAAAAUAAUAAAAAAUUAUCGGAAUAGUUAGAGAGUUAAAGGGGUACUUCACAGCUCAGCGUUUGGAACAAACUGUUCCGAACGCUGGAGCCGACGUCAGGAGCUGUUGACAUCAUAGCUCCGCCCCUCAUGACAUCACGUCCUGCCCCCUCAAUGCAAGUCUGUGGGAGGGGGUGUGACGGCUCUACCCAUUUAAAAAUAAAAAUAAAUGCUUGAUAAAAUUAUUUUAAAAAUAAUUUGUUGUAUCAAAAAUAAAAUUCAGAAAAAGAAAAGAAAAUAUUUAAAAAAAUCCCAAAAAUGUUAUAAAUAAACCCCCAAAAAAUCUACAAUAGCUACAAACUUAGCAUAAAAAUAUUAAAAAAUAUUAAAAAAUACAUAAAAAUGCCCCAAAAAAUUUGGAACCCCAUAGAAAAUACCCUAACGAUAACCAUAACCAUACACUGUCUGUCAGCAUAAUGCUGAUAGGCAUAAUACACUGCACUACAAUAGUGGUGCAGUGUUUCAAAGAAAGGAUCAGAUCAGGAGUGAAAGGUCGUUCUCGUAUGGGAAAAAUAAAAAUAGAAACCCAGAAAUGUUAUGAAAAAAAUAACAAUAAAUAAGAAGUAAAUAAAUAAAUAAAACUGAUUAGGACUAGUUUAAAAAGUAUAAAAAAUUUAGAAACGGUCGAUAAAAUAAGUUAAAAAAAUAGCGGAAUAGUUACAGAGUUGAAGGGGUACUCCACAGCUCAGAGUUUGGAACAAACUGUUCCGAAAACUGGAGACGGCGUCAGGAGCUCUUGAUGUCAUGGCCCCGCCUUCUCAUGACGUUACACCUAACCCCCUCAAAUCAAGUCUAUGGGAGGGGGUGUAUCCCUUUAAAAAAAAAAAAUUAAUGGUUGAUAAAAUUCUUUUAAAAAAAAAACAUCAACCCGCCCCACAAAAACAUCCCUUAAAAAAUAAGCUUUUGGAAAAAAAAAACUACAAUUCAGAAUAAAGAAAAGAACAUUUAAAAAAAAAGCACCAAAAUUUUUAUAAAUAAACCCCAAAAAAAAUCUACAAUAGAUACACACAUAACAUUAAUGUGAGAGGCAUAAAUUAUUUUAUAAAAUAAUACAACCCCUCCCCCCUUUCAAAAUUAAAAGGCAUACAUUCCCGUUGUAUGAUUAACUGUUGAAUAUAAUAUAAAAAUUUUAGAUAAAAUAUUUAUUAAAACAAAAUAUCAAAAAUAUACAUUAUAUUUUAAUUAAAAAAACACCUAGAUCCCAAUGUGUUCCAACUUUUUUUGUUCCUUUUUGUUAUGCGGUUUCAUAAUGCCUGAGAUAAGUAGUUCUGGCCCGAGAAUGUUAUAUAUAUUAGCGUCUGUAGCAUGUAUCAGGAACAUGUUAUCAUACCUGUGUCUUUUUACAGGUGACUGAUGCCCGGUGAGAAGGUGAACGUGACAUAUGCCCUCGUCAGCUGCAAGAAAGGAACUUGGAGACAGGUGACUGAUGCCCGGUGAGAAGGUGAACGUGACAUAUGCCCUCGUCAGCUGCAAGAAAGGAACUUGGAGACAGGUGACUGAUGCCCGGUGAGAAGGUGUACGUGACAUAUGCCCUCGUCAGCUGCAAGAAAGGAACUUGGAGACAGGUAAUUAAUAUUUAUAUUAAUUACUGAUAACGAUCAGGCUAGAUAUCAAAUCUAGACCUGCAGAGAUGUCAUAGUCUCUCCCUUAUACAUGAAGAUAUAUGUGUUGUUAAUAAGUAUAUCGUCUAUAGACAGCUUCUUAUAUAACACAGCCAUAUCUCAGGUACAGAGAUUAGGAACAUGUAUGAUCCUUAUUCUCAAUUUUUCUAUUUGUAGGAAUCCCCUUUAUCAAUGUUUAAUAGAAUAGACUGAACUGUCUGCAGUGUUUACAAUUUCACUUUAGACUGUUGGGUGACUGACCGCAAAUUUAAGACUUAACUGUACUAAGUAAAGAAAAAUCAAUAUUUUUUUUGCUUCAAAUAUAUAAUUAUAGCCAAAGACAUUAGCCAUAAUAAGUCAUAGCCUUUUAACCUAAUUCUGAAGGGCAUAAUACACUGCACUUUAAUACUAAUGCAGUAUGUUAUAUGAGUGAUCUAAAGAUCGCUAUUAAAAGUCCCCUUUAUAAAACACUUAAAGGCUAGGUUCACACUAAGGAAUUUCCAGCCGGAAUAAUUAAUGCCGGAGGUUCCACGGGUGCAUUGCCCUCCCCAUAGAUGGCAAUGUAUUCUGUAUGGAUCCUAGCUAAAAAAUAAGUUAAAAAUAGAUACUGUCAUACUACUGCAGUCUAUUAAUAUAUGAGCUAUCGAAAGAUGGCUGCUUUAUGUACCUUAAUGGGAAUAGUUCAAAACUAAAAGAAGAAAAACAAGGCUAAUAAAAUAUAAAAAAAAAAAACUUUAGCUCCGCCUUAAGAAAAACAUCCCUUAAAAAAAUUGUAUCAAAUAUAAAAUGAAAUUAAAAAAUAAAUAUAUGAAAAAUCCCCAAAAAACUUUAUAACCCCAUAAAAAAUACCCUAACGAUAACAACAACCAUACACUGUCUGUCAGCAUAAUGCUGAGAGGCAGAAUACACUGCACUACAAUAGUGGUGCAGUGUUUCAUAGAAACUAUCAGAUCAGGAAUGACAGGUCAUUCUAUUAUGGGAAAAACAAAAAUAGAAAGGCAGAAAUGCUAUGAAAAACAUAAAUAAAUAAGAAGUAGAUAAAUAAAUAAAACUGAUUUGGACUAGUUUAAAAAGUACAAAAAAUUAGGAAACGGUCGAUAAAAUAAUAAAAAAAUUAUCGGAAUAGUUAGAGAGUUAAAGGGGUACUUCACAGCUCAGCGUUUGGAACAAACUGUUCCGAACGCUGGAGCCGGCGUCAGGAGCUGUUGACAUCAUAGCUCCGCCCCUCAUGACAUCACGCCCUGCCCCCUCAAUGCAAGUCUGUGGGAGGGGGUGUGACGGCUCUACCCAUUUAAAAAUAAAAAUAAAUGCUUGAUAAAAUUAUUUAAAAAAUAAUUUGUUGUAUCAAAAAUAAAAUUCAGAAAAAAGAAAAGUAAAUAUUUAAAAAAUCCCAAAAAUGUUAUAAAUAAACCCCCAAAAAAUCUACAAUAGCUACAAACUUACCAUAAAAAUAUUAAAAAAUAUAAAAAAAAUACAUAAAAAUGGCCAAAAAAAUUUGGAACCCCAUAGAAAAUACCCUAAUGAUAACCAUAACCAUACACUGUCUGUCAGCAUAAUGCUGAUAGGCAUAAUACACUGCACUACAAUAGUGGUGCAGUGUUUCAAAGAAAGGAUCAGAUCAGGAGUGAAAGGUCGUUCUCGUAUGGGAAAAAUAAAAAUAGAAACCCAGAAAUGUUAUGAAAAAAAUAACAAUAAAUAAGAAGUAAAUAAAUAAAUAAAACUGAUUAGGACUAGUUUAAAAAGUAUAAAAAAUUUAGAAACGGUCGAUAAAAUAAUUUAAAAAAUAGCGGAAUAGUUACAGAGUUGAAGGGGUACUCCACAGCUCAGAGUUUGGAACAAACUGUUCCGAAAACUGGAGACGGCGUCAGGAGCUCUUGACGUCAUGGCCCCGCCUCCUCAUGACAUUACACCCUGCCCCCUCAAAUGAAGUCUAUGGGAGGGGGUGUAUCCCUUUAAAAAUAAAAAAUUAAUGGUUGAUAAAAUUCUUUUUUUUAAAAAACAUCAACCCGCCCCACAAAAACAUCCCUUAAAAAAUAAGUUGUUGGAAAAAAAAAACUACAAUUCAGAAUAAAGAAAAGAACAUUUAAAAAAAAGCACCAAAAUUUUAUAAAUAACCCCCAAAAAAAUCUACAAUAGAUACACACACAGCAUUAAUGUGAGAGGCAUAAAUUAUUUUAUAAAAUAAUACAACCCUUCCCCCCUUUCAAAAUUAAAAGGCAUACAUUCCCGUUGUAUGAUUAACUGUUGAAUAUAAUAUAACAUUUUUCGAUAAAAUAUUUAUUAAAAUAAAAAAUAUCAAAAAUAUACAGUAUAUUUUAAUUUAAAAAAAAACCUAGAUCCCAAUGUGUUCCAACUUUUUUUGUUCCUUUUUGUUAUGCGGUUUCAUAAUGCCUGAGAUAAGUAGUUCUGGCCCGAGAAUGUUAUAUAUAUUAGCGUCUGUAGCAUGUAUCAGGAACAUGUUAUCAUACCUGUGUCUUUUUACAGGUGACUGAUGCCCGGUGAGAAGGUGAACGUGACAUAUGCCCUCGUCAGCUGCAAGAAAGGAACUUGGAGACAGGUAAUUAAUAUUUAUAUUAAUUACUGAUAACGAUCAGGCUAGAUAUCAAAUCUAGACCUGCAGAGAUGUCAUAGUCUCUCCCUUAUACAUGAAGAUAUAUGUGUUGUUAAUAAGUAUAUCGUCUAUAGACAGCUUCUUAUAUAACACAGCCAUAUCUCAGGAACAGAGAUUAGGAACAUGUAUGAUCCUUAUUCUCUAAUUUUUUAUUUGUAGGAAUCCCCUUUUUCAAUAUUUAAUAGAAUAGACUGAACUGUCUGCAGUGUUUACAAUUUCACUUUAGACUGUUGGGUGACUGACCGCAAAUUUAAGACUUAACUGUACUAAGUAAAGAAAAAUCAAUAUUUUUUUUUGCUUCAAAUAUAUUAUUAUAGCCAAAGACAUUAGCCAUAAUAAGUCAUAGCCUUUUAACCUAAUUAUGAAGGGCAUGAUACACUGCACUUUAAUACUAAUGCAGUAUGUUAUAUGAGUGAUCUAAAGAUCGCUAUUAAAAGUCCCCUUUAUAAAACACUUAAAGGCUAGGUUCACACUAAGGAAUUUCCAGCCGGAAUAAUUAUUGCCGGAGGUUCCACGGGUGCAUUGCCCUCCCCAUAGAUGGCAAUGUAUUCUGUAUGGAUCCUAGCUAAAAAAUAAGUUAAAAAUAGAUACUGUCAUACUACUGCAGUCUAUUAAUAUAUGAGCUAUCGAAAGAUGGCUGCUUUAUGUACCUUAAUGGGAAUAGUUCAAAACUAAAAGAAGAAAAACAAGGCUAAUAAAAUAUAAAAAAAACUAUAGCUCCGCCUUAACAAAAACAUCCCUUUAAAAAAAUUGUAUCAAAUAUAAAAUGAAAUUAAAAAAUAAAUAUAUGAAAAAUCCCCAAAAAACUUUAUAACCCCAUAAAAAAUACUCUAACGAUAACAACAACCAUACACUAUCUGUCAGCAUAAUGCUGAGAGGCAGAAUACACUGCACUACAAUAGUGGUGCAGUGUUUCAUAGAAACUAUCAGAUCAGGAAUGACAGGUCAUUCUCGUAUGGGAAAAACAAAAAUAGAAAGGCAGAAAUGCUAUGAAAAACAUAAAUAAAUAAGAAGUAGAUAAAUAAAUAAAACUGAUUUGGACUAGUUUAAAAAGUACAAAAAAUUAGGAAACGGUCGAUAAAAUAAUAAAAAAUUAUCGGAAUAGUUAGAGAG